This 390-nucleotide ribosomal RNA is filed under the name uncultured bacterium. Its description in RNAcentral is "bacterial SSU rRNA". It matches the Rfam family "Bacterial small subunit ribosomal RNA", at positions 28 to 419 of the family's 1533-position model. The record is from RNAcentral.
GACGAACGCUGGCGGCGUGCUUAACACAUGCAAGUCGAGCGGUAAGGCCCUUUCGGGGGUACACGGGCGGCGAACGGGUGAGUAACACGUGGGUGACCUGCCCUCAGCUCUGGGAUAAGCCUGGGAAACCGGGUCUAAUACUGGAUAUGACUCCAUGACGCAUGUUGUGGGGUGGAAAGCCUUGUGCGGCUGAGGAUGGGCCCGCGGCCUAUCAGCUUGUUGGUGGGGUGAUGGCCUACCAAGGCGACGACGGGUAGCCGGCCUGAGAGGGCGACCGGCCACACUGGGACUGAGACACGGCCCAGACUCCUACGGGAGGCAGCAGUGGGGAAUCUUGCGCAAUGGGCGAAAGCCUGACGCAGCGACGCCGCGUGAGGGAUGACGGCCUGG